AGUGAACGCUGGCGGUAGGCCUAACACAUGCAAGUCGAACGGCAGCACAGUAAGAGCUUGCUCUUACGGGUGGCGAGUGGCGGACGGGUGAGGAAUACAUCGGAAUCUACUUUUUCGUGGGGGAUAACGUAGGGAAACUUACGCUAAUACCGCAUACGACCUACGGGUGAAAGCAGGGGAUCUUCGGACCUUGCGCGAUUGAAUGAGCCGAUGUCGGAUUAGCUAGUUGGCGGGGUAAAGGCCCACCAAGGCGACGAUCCGUAGCUGGUCUGAGAGGAUGAUCAGCCACACUGGAACUGAGACACGGCCCAGACUCCUACGGGAGGCAGCAGUGGGGAAUAUUGGACAAUGGGCGCAAGCCUGAUCCAGCCAUACCGCGUGGGUGAAGAAGGCCUUCGGGUUGUAAAGCCCUUUUGUUGGGAAAGAAAAGCAGCAGGUUAAUACCCCGCUGUUCUGACGGUACCCAUAGAAUAAGCACCGGCUAACUUCGUG
Molecule: ribosomal RNA, 492 nt
Filed under: uncultured bacterium
Lineage: Bacteria
Description: partial 16S ribosomal RNA
Rfam family: Bacterial small subunit ribosomal RNA
Source: RNAcentral